CCUACGGGUGGCAGCAGUAGGGAAUAUUGCUCAAUGGGGGCAACCCUGAAGCAGCAACGCCGCGUGGAGGAUGAAGGUUUUCGGAUUGUAAACUCCUUUUGUUAGAGAAGAUAAUGACGGUAUCUAACGAAUAAGCACCGGCUAACUCCGUGCCAGCAGCCGCGGUAAUACGGGGGGUGCAAGCGUUACUCGGAAUCACUGGGCGUAAAGAGCGCGUAGGCGGGAUAGCAAGUCAGAUGUGAAAUCCUAUGGCUUAACCAUAGAACUGCAUUUGAAACUGUUAUUCUAGAGUAUGGGAGAGGUAGGUGGAAUUCGUGGUGUAGGGGUAAAAUGCGUAGAGAUCAAGAGGAAUACUGAUUGCGAAGGCGACCUGCUAGAACAUAACUGACGCUGAUGCGCGAAAGCGUGGGGAGCAAACAGGAUUAGAUACCCUAGUAGUC
This 440-nucleotide ribosomal RNA is filed under the name uncultured bacterium. RNAcentral describes it as "partial 16S ribosomal RNA". It matches the Rfam family "Bacterial small subunit ribosomal RNA", at positions 338 to 795 of the family's 1533-position model. The record is from RNAcentral.